CGAUCUAGCCACGGCGAAAGGAGCACCAAAGACCUCUAGAACGGCGAAUGCCUCGGAUAUUUGUCUACCGAAAGAAAAAGCACUACAACGGACCCCGAAAGCAACCACAGAGAAUGCACCCAUAAUCAAGCUACCAAAGAAAAAGCAGGUCAGCAUUACCUGGCGCAGCAAGACCUGCCGGAAGACCAAGCGCCCCCCGAUGACAACCAGCCGCGCCACCGAGCCGUCCACCACGACGAGGACGACAAAACGGCCUAGCCAGACGAAGUAGAACAGUAAGAGCGGGCAGAAGAGUCCAACCAGUGAACCCCGCCCCAAGCUGAAGAGGCGCCCAACCAGCGAGACCCGCCCCAAGCUAAAGAAGGGUACAAACAAAACACGCUAGAGGACGAAGCCACCUAGAACGCCGCGUUAGACCACCACUACAAAGACGACCUGCUGCGUCCCUCCUCUAGGCCAACCCGUUCGCAGGACCGUAGCAGAGGUGCCGGGAAAGAGCUAGAGGUUAAGAGGUAGCUUCAACACGAAAGACAGGAAAAAGUGCGUGGUGCUAGUUCGGUACGCCCCUCGCGUUGGCAGCUUCCGCUCGUCCACUCCAACUAGAACUGCCGCAGGAUGACGAGCGGCCGUUCUGGCAGGGUACCCCUCGCGGCGGACAGAGAGGAGUCCGUGCGUCGGAUAGGUGAGGUCGCGGCCAAGGAGCACGGAAACCGCAGUAGCCCCGUAGUGGCGGAGAGGGAUACGGAGAACCAUACACCCUGUGCGACACAGGGAGCGGAACGUGGAGACCUGCAGCGGGACAAGAUAGACGGAAAGAAGAAUCUAGUAAGUACACGUCGUAGUCCUCCCCGCCACCAUGCCAAACCGAAACCUUCGACCGGUAGUUUAGGACAACAUGUCACAACGACUCUACGUUGUGUUUUUAAACUCACCGCCAGAGUACCACCGGCAUCCCGGAGCUGGACGAGAAGCUAGGAAAAGAGAAAAGAAAGGAGGCUCUACCUUAACACGAGGCAAGCGGUGUAGGGGCUCGUACGUGGCGGUACCAGCCUAGGAUCGCCGGACGCCGGAAGGAACCGCUGUCCACAGUGCCAGGUACCGCAACCACCUCCUCUGCUAGCUGUGCCGCCCGUCGAUGUUGUGCUUUAGGACAUACAACUCUCGGACCGGCACUCGUGUGCUCGCCUCCCUGCUGUUGUGUCGCCUCGACAACUUCGAGGUCGUCAAGCCGAAGAGGGACAGGCGUGUUCUCUUCGUCCAAAGCGGCCGGUGAAUAGAAAGACUAAAAGAUCGAUCUUUAACCACACGAAGUGAACAAUCAAUAAAGAAUAUUUCUUACUUUUACAUAGCUCCUAGCUAAGCUCUUCUUUGAAUCGACGACCUUCCCAUUCGAAUACAGUAUACCUCCUGCUGAUCAUAACUAAUUAAGUUAUGAUUGCUCGUACGGCUACAAGGAGGACAGAAAAAAGCUCCACAGGUUUCCCUAUGCGUUCUCUAAUCUGAAAAUAGCUAAAUAGCUAGAGCUAAGAAGAUCGUUAGAUUGCUCUAAUUCUGUUUUAUAACAGACCAUUCUACCCUAUAAUAAACAGCUGGUUUCUUGCCCCCAGAACCCUAACUUUUAGAGCUCCACUUUUUAUUUACGAACAACUCAUUUACCGAUAUAGCUGAUAGCGACGUAAGACUUCCUUACACCCGGAUCUAAGAAGCGUUGUUCAUAAAUGUGAAGUUUUGAGAUCGGGUCCAAUGAAUGCUGGAUUACUAAGUGGUAAAACCUUCCCUGAGUACGCUCACUUUCUUUGAAAGAAAGUAUCCCACUUCAAAUUACAACCCCUGCCGAGUUGUUAUUCCAAAACCCUCCUAUGCACUAAUCCACUAUGUAGCGAUCGAGAAGUUAUAGGAAGGGACAUAGUAUAACGAGUUUCGUUCCUUCUCAAGUAUCGUUGCCACUACGUUUGCCAUGGGAACUUAUAGGUCAAGUUUGCUAGAGAUCAACCCCUUGCGACUUGAAGAACCGAUGUGAAUCAAUCCUCCGAUUACCUUCACGUGGAAAGGCUACUCCUUCUUAGAAAAUCUACCUUCGAGUGCUCAUCAACGAAUAAAUACCAGUUCAGAUACAUGAAUCUAGAGUAGUUAAGACCGGGUUAGGAUGCUAACGAAGUAUAAACCGCUCAAUUUCACGGGAAUGCUUAAUUCUAUAAAUACACCAAACAAGUGUUUGUUCACUAGGAUUGGUUUCUAUUGAAUAACUCCGUCUCUACCCAUCCAUCGAGCUUCACAACAAAAACACUAGUCCUACUUUGUUAUGUUGUGGAUAAAGAACUAACAGGAGAACGAUUCAAUGAAACCGCCAGCCACGUACAUUGGAAAUUAUAAAGUGGAGGAUUAUCGUAUCUUCGAAACAAACUUUGCACCGAACUACCCCACUUAAAAGUAUAGCGCACAUUAUAAGCCUAGUCUUAUACGCGUGAAUAAACCCGAUAUACCUUGACAUGCUUACUAUACUAAAAAUUGUCUUUUGGAUACUAAUUAAAGAACGUCCAGUAUAAGGCCCGAUGCCGUACUUAGGCAUGUACCAGUAAUGAGUGAGGAUGCCGGAAGUCCCUCGUCGACCGAUGACCCACGUUGGCUACCCUCUACCGUCGUACCCAAAAAAAGUUGGCCAAACCUACCGCUAGUGACGUAUCCUAUCCAGGAAUCACCUAGGAGCAGGUCGGCCUACGCCGAAACUCUGAACAUGAGAAAUAAAAAAAAAGGAAACGAGGAAAACACUCGUCAUGAAACGUCUAGUCUGAAACGAUGACAGCCUAAAAAUUAUUUCACCGGCGUACGUAGAAAGGCUGCGUCUCCGACCUCCUACUGGAGGAAAAGGUUUUUUUUUUUCAAUAAAGAUGAUCUAUGUACAAUGAUGAGUUUAAGAAGCAUAAAGCGAACCCUAGAGCUACCCGGAUUAUUAGAAGAGACUUAAAUUAGUACGAUGUCCUGGCUUCCCUCUACUAGUCUCGCGCCGAGACCUGUCAAUGGGUGGUUCUUUCAAUCUGCCAGGCUGACGUAUCAUAUGUUUCUAGUAACUAAGAGUAUCAGUGAAUGGGUGGUUCUUUCGAUGUACUAUCAAAUAAAUCAUUGUC
This 3125-nucleotide ribosomal RNA is filed under the name Triticum aestivum (bread wheat). RNAcentral's name for it is "partial small subunit ribosomal RNA". Lineage: Eukaryota; Viridiplantae; Streptophyta; Magnoliopsida; Poales; Poaceae. The record is from RNAcentral.